This 2777-nucleotide ribosomal RNA is filed under the name Pseudomonas syringae pv. syringae. Its description in RNAcentral is "bacterial LSU rRNA". It matches the Rfam family "Bacterial large subunit ribosomal RNA". Lineage: Bacteria; Pseudomonadati; Pseudomonadota; Gammaproteobacteria; Pseudomonadales; Pseudomonadaceae. The record is from RNAcentral.
AGCGCAUACGGUGGAUGCCUUGGCAGUCAGAGGCGAUGAAAGACGUGGUAGCCUGCGAAAAGCUUCGGGGAGUCGGCAAACAGACUGUGAUCCGGAGAUGUCUGAAUGGGGGAACCCAGCCAUCAUAAGAUGGUUAUCUUGUACUGAAUACAUAGGUGCAAGAGGCGAACCAGGGGAACUGAAACAUCUAAGUACCCUGAGGAAAAGAAAUCAACCGAGAUUCCCUUAGUAGUGGCGAGCGAACGGGGACCAGCCCUUAAGUUGUAUUGAGAUUAGCGGAACGUUCUGGAAAGGACGGCCAUAGUGGGUGAUAGCCCUGUACGCGAAAAUCCCUUUGCAAUGAAAUCGAGUAGGACGGGGCACGAGAAACCUUGUCUGAAUAUGGGGGGACCAUCCUCCAAGGCUAAAUACUACUGACUGACCGAUAGUGAACCAGUACCGUGAGGGAAAGGCGAAAAGAACCGCGGAGAGCGGAGUGAAAUAGAUCCUGAAACCGUAUGCGUACAAGCAGUGGGAGCCCACUUUGUUGGGUGACUGCGUACCUUUUGUAUAAUGGGUCAGCGACUUAUUUUCAGUGGCGAGCUUAACCGAAUAGGGGAGGCGUAGCGAAAGCGAGUCUUAAUAGGGCGUCUAGUCGCUGGGAAUAGACCCGAAACCGGGCGAUCUAUCCAUGGGCAGGUUGAAGGUUGGGUAACACUAACUGGAGGACCGAACCGACUACCGUUGAAAAGUUAGCGGAUGACCUGUGGAUCGGAGUGAAAGGCUAAUCAAGCUCGGAGAUAGCUGGUUCUCCUCGAAAGCUAUUUAGGUAGCGCCUCAUGUAUCACUGUAGGGGGUAGAGCACUGUUUCGGCUAGGGGGUCAUCCCGACUUACCAAACCGAUGCAAACUCCGAAUACCUACAAGUGCCGAGCAUGGGAGACACACGGCGGGUGCUAACGUCCGUCGUGAAAAGGGAAACAACCCAGACCGUCAGCUAAGGUCCCAAAGUCAUGGUUAAGUGGGAAACGAUGUGGGAAGGCUUAGACAGCUAGGAGGUUGGCUUAGAAGCAGCCACCCUUUAAAGAAAGCGUAAUAGCUCACUAGUCGAGUCGGCCUGCGCGGAAGAUGUAACGGGGCUCAAACCAUGCACCGAAGCUACGGGUAUCAUCUUAUGAUGAUGCGGUAGAGGAGCGUUCUGUAAGCCUGUGAAGGUGAGUUGAGAAGCUUGCUGGAGGUAUCAGAAGUGCGAAUGCUGACAUGAGUAACGACAAUGGGUGUGAAAAACACCCACGCCGAAAGACCAAGGUUUCCUGCGCAACGUUAAUCGACGCAGGGUUAGUCGGUCCCUAAGGCGAGGCUGAAAAGCGUAGUCGAUGGAAAACAGGUUAAUAUUCCUGUACUUCUGGUUAUUGCGAUGGAGGGACGGAGAAGGCUAGGCCAGCCUGGCGUUGGUAGUCCAGGUUUAAGGUGGUAGGCUGAGAUCUUAGGUAAAUCCGGGAUCUUAAGGCCGAGAGCUGAUGACGAGUGUUCUUUUAGAACACGAAGUGGUUGAUGCCAUGCUUCCAAGAAAAGCUUCUAAGCUUCAGGUAACCAGGAACCGUACCCCAAACCGACACAGGUGGUUGGGUAGAGAAUACCAAGGCGCUUGAGAGAACUCGGGUGAAGGAACUAGGCAAAAUGGCACCGUAACUUCGGGAGAAGGUGCGCCGGUGGAGGUGAAGCAUUUACUGCGUAAGCCCCUGCCGGUCGAAGAUACCAGGCCGCUGCGACUGUUUAUUAAAAACACAGCACUCUGCAAACACGAAAGUGGACGUAUAGGGUGUGACGCCUGCCCGGUGCCGGAAGGUUAAUUGAUGGGGUUAGCGCAAGCGAAGCUCUUGAUCGAAGCCCCGGUAAACGGCGGCCGUAACUAUAACGGUCCUAAGGUAGCGAAAUUCCUUGUCGGGUAAGUUCCGACCUGCACGAAUGGCGUAACGAUGGCGGCGCUGUCUCCACCCGAGACUCAGUGAAAUUGAAAUCGCUGUGAAGAUGCAGUGUAUCCGCGGCUAGACGGAAAGACCCCGUGAACCUUUACUAUAGCUUUGCACUGGACUUUGAAUUUGCUUGUGUAGGAUAGGUGGGAGGCUUUGAAGCGUGGACGCCAGUCUGCGUGGAGCCAACCUUGAAAUACCACCCUGGCAACUUUGAGGUUCUAACUCAGGUCCGUUAUCCGGAUCGAGGACAGUGUAUGGUGGGUAGUUUGACUGGGGCGGUCUCCUCCUAAAGAGUAACGGAGGAGUACGAAGGUGCGCUCAGACCGGUCGGAAAUCGGUCGUAGAGUAUAAAGGCAAAAGCGCGCUUGACUGCGAGACAGACACGUCGAGCAGGUACGAAAGUAGGUCUUAGUGAUCCGGUGGUUCUGUAUGGAAGGGCCAUCGCUCAACGGAUAAAAGGUACUCCGGGGAUAACAGGCUGAUACCGCCCAAGAGUUCAUAUCGACGGCGGUGUUUGGCACCUCGAUGUCGGCUCAUCACAUCCUGGGGCUGAAGCCGGUCCCAAGGGUAUGGCUGUUCGCCAUUUAAAGUGGUACGCGAGCUGGGUUUAGAACGUCGUGAGACAGUUCGGUCCCUAUCUGCCGUGGACGUUUGAGAUUUGAGAGGGGCUGCUCCUAGUACGAGAGGACCGGAGUGGACGAACCUCUGGUGUUCCGGUUGUCACGCCAGUGGCAUUGCCGGGUAGCUAUGUUCGGAAAAGAUAACCGCUGAAAGCAUCUAAGCGGGAAACUUGCCUCAAGAUGAGAUCUCACUGGAACCUUGA